GAUGAACGCUGGCGGCGUGCCUAAUACAUGCAAGUCGAGCGAACAGAUGAGGAGCUUGCUCCUCUGACGUUAGCGGCGGACGGGUGAGAACACGUGGAUAACCUACCUAUAAGACUGGGAUAACUUCGGGAAACCGGAGCUAAUACCGGAUAAUAUAUUGAACCGCAUGGUUCAAUAGUGAAAGACGGUUUUGCUGUCACUUAUAGAUGGAUCCGCGCCGCAUUAGCUAGUUGGUAAGGUAACGGCUUACCAAGGCAACGAUGCGUAGCCGACCUGAGAGGGUGAUCGGCCACACUGGAACUGAGACACGGUCCAGACUCCUACGGGAGGCAGCAGUAGGGAAUCUUCCGCAAUGGGCGAAAGCCUGACGGAGCAACGCCGCGUGAGUGAUGAAGGUCUUCGGAUCGUAAAACUCUGUUAUUAGGGAAGAACAAAUGUGUAAGUAACUAUGCACGUCUUGACGGUACCUAAUCAGAAAGCCACGGCUAGCUACGUG
This 496-nucleotide ribosomal RNA is filed under the name uncultured bacterium. RNAcentral's name for it is "partial 16S ribosomal RNA". It matches the Rfam family "Bacterial small subunit ribosomal RNA", at positions 28 to 507 of the family's 1533-position model. The record is from RNAcentral.